GUCGGGGUGUGCCGCAGGUGCAUGGCAGACGGGUGAGUAACGCGUGGGGAAUCUACCUCUUUGUGGGGAAUAACGCUCCGAAGGGAGUGGUAAUACCGCAUGAGACCUAGGACUGGGAUGUUCUAGGUGAAACCCGGGGACCGGUAACGGCCUGGGGCAAGGAGAGGAUCCUGCGUCUGAUUAGCUAGUUGGCGGGGUAAUGGCCCACCAAGGCGACGAUCAGUAGCCGGCCUGAGAGGGUGAUCGGCCACACUGGAACUGAGACACGGUCCAGACUCCUACGGGAGGCAGCAGUGGGGAAUUUUGCGCAAUGGACGAAAGUCUGACGCAGCAACGCCGCGUGGGUGAUGAAGGUCUUCGGACUGUAAAACCCUGUCGUCAGGGACGAAGGUACUUGCGUUAAUAGCGUGAGUGCUUGACGGUACCUGGAGAGGAAGCCCCGGCUAACUUGUG
RNAcentral lists this ribosomal RNA (453 nucleotides) under uncultured bacterium. Its description in RNAcentral is "bacterial SSU rRNA". It matches the Rfam family "Bacterial small subunit ribosomal RNA", at positions 73 to 507 of the family's 1533-position model. The record is from RNAcentral.